UACGUAGGGUGCGAGCGUUGUCCGGAAUUAUUGGGCGUAAAGAGCUCGUAGGCGGUGUGUCACGUCGUUCGUGAAAACCUGCAGCUUAACUGUGGGCGUGCGGUCGAUACGGGCAUCACUGGAGUUCGGCAGGGGAGACUGGAAUUCCUGGUGUAGCGGUGAAAUGCGCAGAUAUCAGGAGGAACACCGGUGGCGAAGGCGGGUCUCUGGGCCGAUACUGACACUGAGGAGCGAAAGCGUGGGGAGCGAACAGG
RNAcentral lists this ribosomal RNA (254 nucleotides) under uncultured bacterium. RNAcentral describes it as "partial 16S ribosomal RNA". It matches the Rfam family "Bacterial small subunit ribosomal RNA", at positions 524 to 776 of the family's 1533-position model. The record is from RNAcentral.